Molecule: ribosomal RNA, 775 nt
Filed under: uncultured Neocallimastigales
Lineage: Eukaryota; Fungi; Neocallimastigomycota; Neocallimastigomycetes; Neocallimastigales
Description: partial large subunit ribosomal RNA
Rfam family: Eukaryotic large subunit ribosomal RNA
Source: RNAcentral
AGAGAGAGACAUGCGCGCAUAUCAAUAAGCGGAGGAAAAGAAACUUAACAAGGAUUCCCCUAGUAACGGCGAGUGAAGCGGGAAGAGCUCAAAUUUGAAAUCUUAAAGGGUUUCCCUUUACGAAUUGUAGUUUAAAGAAGUGUUUUCUGUUGAGGUUUUGGUAAAAGUUCUUUGGAAUAGGACAUCAUAGAGGGUGAGAAUCCCGUAUUUGACCUUUACUUUCAACUUUGUGAUACACUUUCAAAGAGUCGGAUUGUUUGGGAAUGCAGUCCAAAAUGGGUGGUAAAUUUCAUCUAAAGCUAAAUAUUGGCGAGAGACCGAUAGCGAACAAGUACCGUGAGGGAAAGAUGAAAAGAACUUUGAAAAGAGAGUUAAACAGUACGUGAAAUUGUCAAAAGGGAAGCGUUUGACACCAGUGUUGUUUUUCUGAAAAUCAAUUAAAGAACUGUUUAUGCUAAGUUGUUUAGACUUUAUCAGCUAACUGUUUAGUUUUGAGCUUUUCUUUAAUGCACUUUUCAGUUAACAAGUCAACAUCAAUUUCUUUUGCUGUAAAAAAGCUUGAGGAAGGUGGCUUGAGAUUCGUCUUAAGUGUUUAUAGCCUCUUGCCUAUGCAGUCGGAGAGAUUGAGGUCUGCAGCGUAGAUCCUUCGGGGCUAAAUGCAUUUGUGCUAAGUUAUAGCAUUUUAUAGACAACUUGUUGACUAUGAUUUGUCUUGUAGCUUACUCGCUUAUGUUAUUUUACCUACGCUUAGGAUGUUGACGCAUGAGAUAUACGC